Non-coding RNA from Schizosaccharomyces pombe (fission yeast), 1117 nucleotides. The record is from the annotation of a GenBank genome assembly. NCBI's taxonomy places the organism in Eukaryota, Fungi, Ascomycota, Schizosaccharomycetes, Schizosaccharomycetales, Schizosaccharomycetaceae.
UUAGGUGAAGAGAGAAGCUGUCGUUCAAAAUCAGCUGCUGUGCUUGGAAUUUCAUCCAAAUCCUUUUCUUCAUCGUCAAAACGAUCAGAUUUACUCUUCUUACGCUUUGGUUCCUCAUCUUCUUCAUCCUCACUAUCUUCAGUAUCAUCAGCCAACUUAUCAAAAACAGUACUUCCAUCGGUCCAGUCAAAUCCGUUGGCUUGAAGAGCACUUGGCUCCUCCUCUUCAUCCUCAUCACCAGCAGAUUCCAGAUUUUCUACCUCUUCAGAUUGGACAUCAUCCUUCGAGCCGACUUCAGAUUCGGAUGUAUCUGAUUGAUCCUCUGAUCUCAUUUCAACGUCCUCCUCAUUGUCAGACAUUGAAAUGUCGGAAUCCGAAUCAAAAUAGGAAGACUUAAGCCCUAAAGCAAUUCGGCGUUUUUCAGAAUCAACGUCUAAGACAUGUGCACGGACUUUGUCACCAGAACUAUACAAUUUACUGAUAUUCAGUACAACUGCAUCGGCAAUUUCGGACUUAUGGCAUAAUCCAACAAUAUUGUCGGUUCCAUCAAUACGAAUAAGAACACCGUAGUCACCAACUUUGACGACAGUUCCAUCAAGAUUACUACCGACGGCUAUAUCAGCAAAUGUCUUCGUGAUUUCCGAGGAAUCCUUGAUUUUGCUUUGUUUCAAUGACAUUUCAAUACGCUUGGAAUCAUUGUCGAUUCCAACGAUGCUUCCCUUAACUAGUUGGUUGACGUGAAAAUGGGGCUUCCAAUCCUUAAUGAAUGUAUCGAACAAUUCGCCUAUUUUUACUCGAGCAAUCAGAUUAUGUCCUAUCGUAACAAAGAGGCCUUGGUUAGCAACAUUGCAAACAAAUCCCCGACAUAUAUCACCAAUCUUGAGAUCAUCUACGGAAUUUAUUUCCUUGUCCUUGAUUUCCACAGGCUGCGAUUGAGUACGAGAAUUACGAGCAGAUAAGGCCACUUUUCUAUUAGGUACAUCCACACUUAAGACACAGACACCUACCAAAUUAUUGCGGGUAAAUUUAGUUUCGGGUAAAAUAUCGUAAUCGUCAAACAUAUCAAUUCGAGAAACUCUACCAGACAUAUGACCAGGAAGUUGCAAAAUAGCACCAG